GACGAACGCUGGCGGCGUGCCUAAUACAUGCAAGUAGAACGCUGAAGCGAGGAGCUUACUCUUCUUGGAUGAGUUGCGAACGGGUGAGUAACGCGUAGGUAACCUGCCUUGUAGCGGGGGAUAACUAUUGGAAACGAUAGCUAAUACCGCAUAACAAUGGAUGACACAUGUCAUUUAUUUGAAAGGGGCAAUUGCUCCACUACAAGAUGGACCUGCGUUGUAUUAGCUAGUAGGUGAGGUAAUGGCUCACCUAGGCGACGAUACAUAGCCGACCUGAGAGGGUGAUCGGCCACACUGGGACUGGGACACGGCCCAGACUCCUACGGGAGGCAGCAGUAGGGAAUCUUCGGCAAUGGGGGCAACCCUGACCGAGCAACGCCGCGGGAGUGAAGAAGGUUUUCGGAUCGUAAAGCUCUGUUGUAAGUCAAGAACGGGUGUGAGAGUGGAAAGUUCACACUGUGACGGUAGCUUACCAGAAAGGGACGGCUAACUACGUG
This 497-nucleotide ribosomal RNA is filed under the name uncultured bacterium. RNAcentral describes it as "partial 16S ribosomal RNA". It matches the Rfam family "Bacterial small subunit ribosomal RNA", at positions 28 to 507 of the family's 1533-position model. The record is from RNAcentral.